Long non-coding RNA from Rhipicephalus sanguineus (brown dog tick), 397 nucleotides. RefSeq lists it as uncharacterized. Lineage: Eukaryota; Metazoa; Arthropoda; Arachnida; Ixodida; Ixodidae. The transcript has 3 exons. The record is from RefSeq and is a predicted model, not a curated record.
AGUGUUGGUGUAAGCGGCAGUAUCUUGAGAAGUUUGUAGCUGUUCUAACGUCAGCUAAAUAAGGUAUCCACUCAGAGGAAUUUACAAACUUAAAGUUCUGCUAUAUCCGGCUUGAUUAUGUCGGGCUUGCGGUUUUCAGGACUUGCGUUGCUCGCCUUGGCGCCACUAUUACUAUGCUGCUGCUCGGGAACUUACAUCGACGAUGGAGCAAUUCAUUCCUGUUACCAAACCUGCACGUACUACAAUAACGGAAGCAGCAGUGGAUGCAGCCCAGGCUGCCAUUGCAUCAGCGACAGAUACAAUGCUUUGGGAGAAGUACACAACCCACCUGGACCAGGAACCUGCUGGGUUUCCCGUCGUGGUUGAGGGCUGAAAUAAAGGACACAGGUGUGCUCUU